This 208-nucleotide ribosomal RNA is filed under the name uncultured bacterium. RNAcentral describes it as "partial 16S ribosomal RNA". It matches the Rfam family "Bacterial small subunit ribosomal RNA", at positions 568 to 774 of the family's 1533-position model. The record is from RNAcentral.
CGUGUAGGCGGGACGGCACGUCUGUCGCUGAAAUCCCCCGGCUUAACCGGGGAACUGGCGGAGAUACGACCGUCCUGGAGGGGCGUAGGGGGACCUGGAACUUCCGGUGGAGCGGUGAAAUGCGUUGAGAUCGGAAGGAACGCCCGUGGCGAAAGCGAGGUCCUGGACGCCUACUGACGCUGAGACGCGAAAGCCAGGGGAGCGAACG